CAACCUCAAUUUUCAAAGGUCAGAAACGGAAAGUACGCAGAAAAUUACGUAGGAAAUCUCAUAAUGGGUGACAUCGAAACGAAAUUUGGCGAGGAACAGCCGCAAAAAGAGCGGAACGCCAGCCGCUCAACCCCCCACUCCACUCCCCUGUACCUUUGGAACCACUUUUCAACUCAAGGUGAAAUUUUUUCCUGAGACUUGGGGCAUCAUGGGCAUCAAUUUGGCGCAAGUAGUCUCGUUGGCCGGAUCGAGGGCUUAAGAAAGGGGCGAAUUUUGACCCAUUUUUAACAAGGCUCUUUUGGACUACAUUUUUUCACACUCUCUUCAUUUUAAUGUGUCUUGUUAAUACGACUGAAUUUGUGCAUUAGAAAACUUAUUCUAAGGAAGAUUGUGCGAUAGUAAUUUAAUUUGUUUAUUCAUUAUUUUCUAAAUACAUGAAACCCCUAUAAAUGAUGUAAGUGAUGCAGUGGCGUAGCGUGCUAUGCGAUUUACCGAUUGAUUCUUUACCAUUCUUUCAAAUGGGAAAUAUCUAUAAUUGAUCAUUCGCGCUUUGCCACUGAUGUGAUGAUUUCUAAAUUUUUGAAAAAUUUGGCGCGCUAUGGGGGUAGCCACUGGAAAAAAAAACACAGCCAAAAUAGUCUCUCAGUUGUUGUCGUUCACUUGGAUUUGGUGGGCUCUCUGAGCAUACAGAAAAAGCCUCUUAAAUAUUAUUUUUGUUCCAAGCAGGCAGAGAAUGCCGGAAAUAUCUUCAACGAUCUUUAUCAAUGUAUCCAAAGUCGGUGGUAGACAAACUCCUGCGGCUAUGGAAUAUUGAGAGGCAACGGGUGAUAGCGGAUUUCAAAAAGAUGCACCAACAAAGGAUCGCAGAAAUGGAACGAGCCGCCAAACAGGAACUUGAGGAAAAAGUCCGCAGUAUCAAGAACGGAAAAGAAACACUGGUCAAAUUGUGGGAGUGCAAAGAGCGAAUCGAUCGGUUCAUGAAAGCUCCGAGAUUUCCCAGCGGAGGCGAGGAGCAGCAGAAGCAACUUAUGGAGGCGUUGCGUGUCGAAAUCGCCGAGGAUAGGGCCAAACUUAAGACAGAGUCGGAUUUGAAUACCCAGUUAAAGGUGGGACUCGCCAAAGCGACCUUGGACAAAGAAGAGCAGGACGCAAACUUUACCGCGAUGAAAGACGAGCUCAGAAAUCUCGCCGAACAAUUGUGCGAUACGUUGGCGGCGAUUUGCGAUGAGUAUGAGACGCAGCACAUUGCGUUGAAUAAAAAUAUUUUGGGGUGGCUCGACUCGAACCAGAGGUCAUUAAUACGUAGGUAUGCCUCUGAACACUAUAAAGAAUAUUUCGAAAAUACUUUGGUUUUGUUCAUUUCUUAG
RNAcentral lists this long non-coding RNA (1367 nucleotides) under Bemisia tabaci. RNAcentral's name for it is "lncRNA ENSSWEETPG001182". The record is from RNAcentral. Lineage: Eukaryota; Metazoa; Arthropoda; Insecta; Hemiptera; Aleyrodidae.